GCCUCUGAUUGGAUAAAAUAGUCACGGGCCGACCCAACCAGCGCUUCGGUUGUUGCUUUGCGGCGCUUUCCGCGGGGAACUGUGUAAGGGGUGGGGGAAACUUUGAAAGUUGGAUGCUGCAGACCCGGUUCCUCUUUUCUUUGCUGGAUCUGAAGGCAUGGGUAGCAAGAAACUAAGACGAGUGGGUUUAUCACAAGAGCUGUGUGAUCGUCUGAGCAGACAUCAGAUUGUGACCUGUCGGGACUUCUUAUGUCUUUCCCCACUGGAGCUUAUGAAGGUGACUGGCCUGAGUUAUCGAGGUGUCCAUGAACUUCUGUGUAUUGUCAGCAAGGCCUGUGCCCCACAGAUGCAAACGGCUUAUGGGAUGAAGACAAAAAGGUCUGCUGAUCUCUCACCGGCGUUCUUAUCUACUACCCUUUCUGCUUUGGAUGAAGCCCUACAUGGUGGUGUGGCUUGUGGAUCCCUCACAGAGAUUACAGGUCCACCAGGUUGUGGAAAAACUCAGUUUUGUAUAAUGAUGAGUGUUUUGGCCACAUUACCCACCAACAUGGGAGGAUUAGAAGGAGCUGUUGUGUAUAUUGACACAGAGUCAGCAUUUAGUGCUGAAAGACUGGUUGAGAUAGCAGAAUCCCGUUUUCCUAGAUAUUUUAACACUGAAGAAAAAUUACUUUCGACAAGUAGUAAAGUUAAUCUUUAUCUGGAGCUCAGCUGUGAUGAAGUUCUACGAAGGAUUGAAUCGUUGGAAGAAGAAAUUAUUUCAAAAGGAGUUAAACUUAUCAUUAUUGACUCUGUUGCUUCGGUGGUCAGAAAGGAGUUUGCUACACAACUUCAAGGUAAUCUGAAAGAAAGAAACAAGUUCUUGGCAAGAGAAGCAUCUUUACUGAAGUAUUUGGCUGAGGAAUUUUCAAUCCCAGUUAUCUUGACGAAUCAAAUUACAACCCAUAUGAGCGGAGCCCUCGCUUCUCAGGCAGACCUGGUGUCUCCAGCUGAUGAUUUGUCCCUGUCUGAAGGUACUUCUGGAUCCAGCUGUGUGACAGCCGCACUAGGAAACACCUGGAGUCACAGUGUGAACACCCGACUGAUCCUCCAGUACUUUGAUUCAGAGAGAAGACAGAUUCUCAUUGCUAAGUCCCCACUGGCUCCCUUCACCUCAUUUAUCUACACCAUCAAGGAGGAAGGUCUGGUUCUUCAAGUGAGUCCCUGUUGGAGACGUGGACUGCUCAUGGAGCCUGAGCUGAGACUGACUAGAGCUGAAGCCACAAGCACUGCUAUGCAAAAAAAGAAAAAAAUCAACAAGCCAAGGUUAUAGGAAGGGUUAAAAGGGAGUCUCCAAUAAACUCAAAUUCAGAAGAAUUUAAACAGAGCUAGAAGGAAUCAUGUCCAAACUUGCAAGGGUAAGUGAGCAAGAAGUUGCCUAAAUGAUUAUAUAACCAUGACCAACAGGACAAAGAUAAAUAAAUAGCAAAGACUUUUUAAAGAUAUGGACCAAUUCCUUUAGACUAGCAGCUCUCAAAUGUUUUGGUCUUAAGGACUGCUGUAUACUCCUAACAUUUAUUGAAGACUCCCCAAAGAGCUUUCAUGUAUGUGCAUUCUAUCUAUUGAUCAAUCCUGUGGUAGCCAGCCUCUGUGAUAGUCCCCAAAGAUCCUUAUAUCCUAGUUAGUACUCAUGCCCUGAUAUAUUCUCCUCUCACAUUGAAUCAGGACUGGUUUAUGUGACAAAUAUAAAAUGGCAGAAGUGAUAGUUAGUGUGUGAUUUCAGAGGCUAGGUCAUAAAAGGGACUACUGUUUCCUACUUGGUCUCUUCUGUUCUCUCUGGAGAAAACCCGUCUUUAGGUUUUGAGUACACUGGGGAAAGACCUACAUGGAGAAAAACCAAGGCCUCCUGUCAACAGCCAGCAACCCUUGGCCAGGCUUGUGACGGAGUUACCUUGAAGGCAGAUCCUCCAGCCCCAGUCAAGCCUUCAGAUGACAACAACCUCCUGAGAGAUCCUGAGGCAGACCUGCCUAGGUGUAUAGCAGUGAAGAAUACCAUGAAUGCCAGUGUAGUCUAGCACCAGUGAUUUUACCAAAUGUCAAGACAGUGAAGAAGGCAAAUAUCAUCUUGGUAUCAUCGUGAAAAUAGUUUUGACCUUGCAAAUACCUUAAUAGGGUCUCAGGGAUCCCAGGAGUCCAUAGUCCUUACUUCGAGAACCACUGCUUUAGAGACAUGGCUGUCAUUCUGUUACUUGCAGCAUUUAUAGGUGAAUGAGUUACAUGCUGACAUGCAUAAACAAGGUCUUUGUGCAAAAUUUCAGUGGCCACCAUUGCUUGCAUAAGCUAGAAAAUGUGUCAGUAGACCUCAGCUUAUCCUUGCGGAUGGCCUAUAAAUGAGACAGGUUCUUUAUUUAAGGGAGACUAGGGUAAUUUUUGUGCUUUUAUUUGUCCCACUUAUAAAAAGUAUGUGGAUGUUGGUGAGGAAGCUGAGCUCUGAGAAAUUCCUCAGACUCUCGGUGUUGAAUAAAUAAGA
Cynocephalus volans (Philippine flying lemur) is the source of this 2506-nucleotide RNA transcript. It is a transcript of the gene named RAD51 paralog B, with no coding region annotated. The transcript has 12 exons. Lineage: Eukaryota; Metazoa; Chordata; Mammalia; Dermoptera; Cynocephalidae. The record is from RefSeq and is a predicted model, not a curated record.